Molecule: ribosomal RNA, 278 nt
Filed under: uncultured bacterium
Lineage: Bacteria
Description: partial 16S ribosomal RNA
Rfam family: Bacterial small subunit ribosomal RNA
Source: RNAcentral
UGCCAGCCGCCGCGGUAAUACGUAGGGGGCAAGCGUUGUCCGGAAUUAUUGGGCGUAAAGCGCGCGCAGGCGGCUAUUUAAGUCUUAUGUAUAAACCCAAGGCUCAACCUUGGAUCGCAUGGGAAACUGGGUGGCUUGAGUGUAGGAGAGGAAAGUGGAAUUCCACGUGUAGCGGUGAAAUGCGUAGAGAUGUGGAGGAACACCAGUGGCGAAGGCGGCUUUUUGGUCUGUAACUGACGCUGAGGCGCGAAAGCGUGGGGAGCAAACAGGAUUAGAUA